This 250-nucleotide ribosomal RNA is filed under the name uncultured bacterium. Its description in RNAcentral is "partial 16S ribosomal RNA". It matches the Rfam family "Bacterial small subunit ribosomal RNA", at positions 524 to 773 of the family's 1533-position model. The record is from RNAcentral.
UACGGAGGGUGCAAGCGUUAAUCGGAAUUACUGGGCGUAAAGCGUGCGCAGGCGGUUUGUUAAGUCUGCUGUGAAAUCCCCGAGCUCAACUUGGGAAUUGCAGUGGAUACUGGCAAGCUGGAGUACGGUAGAGGAAGGUGGAAUUCCCGGUGUAGCAGUGAAAUGCGUAGAGAUCGGGAGGAACACCAGUGGCGAAGGCGGCCUUCUGGACCAGUACUGACGCUCAUGCACGAAAGCGUGGGGAGCAAAC